This 498-nucleotide ribosomal RNA is filed under the name uncultured bacterium. RNAcentral describes it as "partial 16S ribosomal RNA". It matches the Rfam family "Bacterial small subunit ribosomal RNA", at positions 30 to 523 of the family's 1533-position model. The record is from RNAcentral.
AUUGAACGCUGGCGGCAUGCCUUACACAUGCAAGUCGAACGGUAACAGGUCUUCGGAUGCUGACGAGUGGCGAACGGGUGAGUAAUACAUCGGAACGUGCCUAGUAGUGGGGGAUAACUACUCGAAAGAGUGGCUAAUACCGCAUGAAAUCUACGGAUGAAAGCAGGGGAUCGCAAGACCUUGUGCUACUAGAGCGGCCGAUGGCAGAUUAGGUAGUUGGUGGGAUAAAAGCUUACCAAGCCGACGAUCUGUAGCUGGUCUGAGAGGACGAUCAGCCACACUAGGACUGAGACACGGCCCAGACUCCUACGGGAGGCAGCAGUGGGGAAUUUUGGACAAUGGGCGAAUGCCUGAUCCAGCAAUGCCGCGUGCAGGAUGAAGGCCUUCGGGUUGUAAACUGCUUUUGUACGGAACGAAAAGCCCCGGGUUAAUACCCUGGGGUCAUGACGGUACCGUAAGAAUAAGCACCGGCUAACUACGUGCCAGCCGCCGCGGUAA